UGGGAGUGCAGCAGGGCUUAGCCAUAGUAACGGCGAGUGAAGCGGCAACAGCUCAAAUUUGAAAUCUGGCUCUUUCAGAGUCCGAGUUGUAAUUUGCAGAGGGCGCUUUGGCUUUGGCAGCGGUCCAAGUUCCUUGGAACAGGACGUCACAGAGGGUGAGAAUCCCGUACGUGGUCGCUAGCUAUUGCCGUGUAAAGCCCCUUCGACGAGUCGAGUUGUUUGGGAAUGCAGCUCUAAAUGGGAGGUAAAUUUCUUCUAAAGCUAAAUAUUGGCCAGAGACCGAUAGCGCACAAGUAGAGUGAUCGAAAGAUGAAAAGCACUUUGGAAAGAGAGUCAAACAGCACGUGAAAUUGUUGAAAGGGAAGCGCUUGCAGCCAGACUUGCUUGCAGUUGCUCAUCCGGGCUUUUGCCCGGUGCACUCUUCUGCAGGCAGGCCAGCAUCAGUUUGGGCGGUGGGAUAAAGGUCUCUGUCAUGUACCUCUCUUCGGGGAGGCCUUAUAGGGGAGGCGACAUACCACCAGCCUAGACUGAGGUCCGCGCAUCUGCUAGGAUGCUGGCGUAAUGGCUGUAAGCGGCCCGUCUUGAAACACGGACCAAGGAGUCUAACAUCUAUGCGAGUGUUUGGGUGUCAAGCCCGAGCGCGUAAUGAAAGUGAACGGAGGUGGGAACCCGCAAGGGUGCACCAUCGACCGAUCCUGAAGUUUACGGAAGGAUUUGAGUAAGAGCAUGGCUGUUGGGACCCGAAAGAUGGUGAACUAUGCUUGAAUAGGGUGAAGCCAGAGGAAACUCUGGUGGAGGCUCGCAGCGGUUCUGACGUGCAAAUCGAUCGUCAAAUUUGGGCAUAGGGGCGAAAGACUAAUCGAACUAUCUAGUAGCUGGUUCCUGCCGAAGUUUCCCUCAGGAUAGCGGUAACGUAUUCGGUUUAUGAGGAAGGGGAAUGGUUAUAGGCCAUGCGGGUUGGGGGACCUG
RNAcentral lists this ribosomal RNA (969 nucleotides) under Exserohilum rostratum. Its description in RNAcentral is "partial large subunit ribosomal RNA". It matches the Rfam family "Eukaryotic large subunit ribosomal RNA", at positions 56 to 1047 of the family's 3401-position model. Lineage: Eukaryota; Fungi; Ascomycota; Dothideomycetes; Pleosporales; Pleosporaceae. The record is from RNAcentral.